GUAGCUACCCGGUAGGUACGCUACAAGCCCGCCGGUGGACCACUAAACUCUGUUUUAAUACCGAAUCUCUGAAUGCUUCAACUUAAUAAGUUAAAACUUUCAACAACGGAUCUCUUGGUUCUGGCAUCGAUGAAGAACGCAGCGAAAUGCGAUAAGUAAUGUGAAUUGCAGAAUUCAGUGAAUCAUCGAAUCUUUGAACGCACAUUGCGCCCAUUAGUAUUCUAGUGGGCAUGCCUAUUCGAGCGUCAUUUCAACCCUUAAGCCUAGCUGCUUAGUGUUGGGAAUCUGCCCUGUUUUUUUACAGCGCAGUUCCUUAAAGUGAUUGGCGGAGUUAGGGCAUACUCUAAGCGUAGUAAUAUUUCUUCUCGCUUCUGUAGUUGUCCUGACGGCUUGCCGUUAAACCCCUAUA
This 409-nucleotide ribosomal RNA is filed under the name Sordariomycetes sp. Its description in RNAcentral is "eukaryotic LSU rRNA". The stretch from base 95 to 248 matches the Rfam family "5.8S ribosomal RNA". The record is from RNAcentral. Lineage: Eukaryota; Fungi; Ascomycota; Sordariomycetes.